This 449-nucleotide ribosomal RNA is filed under the name uncultured bacterium. RNAcentral's name for it is "partial 16S ribosomal RNA". It matches the Rfam family "Bacterial small subunit ribosomal RNA", at positions 29 to 523 of the family's 1533-position model. The record is from RNAcentral.
AGCGAACGCUGGCGGCAGGCCUAACACAUGCAAGUCGAACGGAUCCUUCGGGAUUAGUGGCGGACGGGUGAGUAACACGUGGGAACGUGCCCUUUGGUUCGGAACAACUCAGGGAAACUUGAGCUAAUACCGGAUGUGCCCUUCGGGGGAAAGAUUUAUCGCCAUUGGAGCGGCCCGCGCAGGAUUAGCUAGUUGGUGGGGUAAAGGCCCACCAAGGCUACGAUCCUUAGCUGGUCUGAGAGGAUGAUCAGCCACAUUGGGACUGAGACACGGCCCAAACUCCUACGGGAGGCAGCAGUGGGGAAUCUUGCGCAAUGGGCGAAAGCCUAACGCAGCCAUGCCGCGUCAAUGAUGAAGGUCUUAGGAUUGUAAAAUUCUUUCACCGGGGACGAUAAUGACGGUACCCGGAGAAGAAGCCCCGGCUAACUUCGUGCCAGCCGCCGCCGUAA